AGAGUUUGAUCAUGGCUCAGAGUGAACGCUGGCGGCGUGCUUAACACAUGCAAGUCGAACGAGAACGGCCCUAGCUUGCUAGGGUGUCAGCUAAGUGGCGGACGGGUGAGUAAUGUAUAGUUAAUCUGCCCUUCAGAGGGGGAUAACAGUUGGAAACGACUGCUAAUACCCCAUACUCCUUCUCUCUUGAUGAGAGUCGGGAAAUGUCUUUUCGCUGAAGGAUGAGACUAUAUGGUAUCAGCUUGUUGGUGAGGUAAUGGCUCACCAAGGCAAUGACACCUAGCUGGUCUGAGAGGAUGAUCAGCCACACUGGAACUGAGACACGGUCCAGACUCCUACGGGAGGCAGCAGUGGGGAAUAUUGCACAAUGGAGGAAACUCUGAUGCAGCAACGCCGCGUGGAGGAUGACGCAUUUCGGUGUGUAAACUCCUUUUAUAUGGGAAGAUAA
This 448-nucleotide ribosomal RNA is filed under the name uncultured Campylobacterota bacterium. Its description in RNAcentral is "bacterial SSU rRNA". It matches the Rfam family "Bacterial small subunit ribosomal RNA", at positions 8 to 451 of the family's 1533-position model. Lineage: Bacteria; Pseudomonadati; Campylobacterota. The record is from RNAcentral.